This 1874-nucleotide long non-coding RNA is filed under the name Theobroma cacao (cacao). RNAcentral's name for it is "long non-coding RNA (TCAC_LNC000424)". The record is from RNAcentral. Lineage: Eukaryota; Viridiplantae; Streptophyta; Magnoliopsida; Malvales; Malvaceae.
CCAGAGUAUUUAAUUUAAUUUACAAUAACCAGUGGGCUCCCGAAUAACUAAAAGUAAAGAAGACUGUGAACCUACAGUUUGGAGGAUGCAAAUCCAAUGGUAGUCUCAAUGAAAUCAGCUAUCUACAGCCUAUUCUGAGCCUGAAAUGGGUGGAAAGGAGGGUGGUGAGAUUAUAUAAUUCCAGUGAGUAAACAAAUACCAUCUAAAAUAUCUAAAGCUGAGUAAAUGGAGACAGAUAAAAUAGUUUAACAUAUUGUAAUUCAUCACCUUUCAACAAGUUUCAACCAAAUAAAAUCAAUUCAUAUAAAUCGAGUAAUCAACAUGGCUUAUGAAUUUCUUAAAACUUUAGCUCGUGCCAAAAUCAUUCUCAUACCCAGUUAUCAGGGAUACCUUGAUCAAGGGCUAUCCCAACCGAGUUCGCCAAGGCUGUUAAAAAGUUAUGUACGCAUAAAUCAUGUUUUUAUUUUGAAAACAUAGCCGUUCCUUGGCAUUGGCUGAGUUCACCCUCACGUGGUGGUUUGGCAUGAAAUGAACUCUAAAAGUUAUACCUCGGGAGUUACCCUACUCACCUCUCAAACCGAGGUAAAAUAUAACGAGAUUCCGUACCCCUCUAAUAGGCUGGUCCACAAAAAACCCGCCCACUGCAGCAAGCUAAAUCCACCAUACAAUAAAAUUUGCAAUAGCAUAACAUGGCAAUUAUUUUAUUUUAUUUCACAACCUUUCAAGGCAAAUCAACAAGUUAUACAUUUCCAACACAUUUAUCAAAUCAACCAUUCAUGCCAAUAUUGCCAUAAGCCAAUCAAUUGGAAUCAUGAAUUCACAACACACAAAAACAGUCUCUAAUUACUCUAUUUUCAAACCAUCAUUCAAUUUUAAAACAAUUUUAUGAAAUCAUUUCAUUAAAUCACAUUUGGUUUAUAAAACCGAAAAAUUAAUCAUUUAAUUCAUUUUCCAUAAAUUUCACAAAAUCGAAUAAAACAUACUUUAGAUAAUUAAGAUGAUGAUAAGGUUACUCACUAUUUCGGGAGUCGAAUUUCAAGUACUCCGAUUGUUGAUCCUCGGGUACUAUCUCUUUACUUUUGCCAAAAUGCUCACCACCUAGACAUAAUGCACAAUAAGCCAUUUACUACAUUGUGCUAAAUUGUUAUAAAACCAAUUCAAGCUUUAUACUAAUGUAUGAAAUGGGAUCCAAAUUGUUCAGAUUAUUGUCUAAUACGAUGUUCUACACAAAUUCAAUUGUGUACCUAAAUUAAACGGUAUUGGUUUAAUUCGAUCUAUCACUCGAUUAAUUUUCCAAUACGUCCAAUUCAACUCCAAAUAAUUCCAUUUUUCUCCCAAUGCUCCAAAUCAUCAAACACAAAUUAAAUAACUUGAAAUAUGGCAAAAUCAUCCUCACAUUUUCUCUUGGAAAAUUCGGCCAUGGUGGGUGCCUCAACACUAUAAUUUUUCCUACUUGAUUCUCACACCAUAAAUCACUAAUUCCUAACCAAAUCACUUGAAAUAAAAUUAAAAUCAUUAUCAAUAUUCUACAUGGAGAAUUCGGCCAAUGAUGGGUGAUGGGAGAACAUGAAUUUUUCUUAUUGGCUUUUCAUGCUACACAUCACUAACUAACUAAAACACCAAAAUAUCUUAAAAUCUAACCAAAUCAAGCAUCAAAACCUCUCUCUAAGUGUUCAGCCAGCAAGAUACCCAUCAUGAAAUCAUGUGAUUCAACCAUGGAAAAUGCAAAAGAAUGUAUGGGAAAGGUAGAUCAUAAGCUAGAAUUAAAAAAUCUUACCUUUUGUCACUUGUUUCCUUGAAUUUUCACACUUUUCCCUUGAAUUUUUCCACCUAGGAUUUUUGUUCUUCUUUUCUUCCUUUGUUCUUGCUUUGGC